Molecule: ribosomal RNA, 677 nt
Filed under: Anaerobacillus alkalidiazotrophicus
Lineage: Bacteria; Bacillati; Bacillota; Bacilli; Caryophanales; Bacillaceae
Description: Bacillus alkalidiazotrophicus Bacterial small subunit ribosomal RNA
Rfam family: Bacterial small subunit ribosomal RNA
Source: Rfam by way of RNAcentral
UUUAUGGAGAGUUUGAUCCUGGCUCAGGACGAACGCUGGCGGCGUGCCUAAUACAUGCAAGUCGAGCGAACUCAAUUAAAGCUUGCUUUAUGAGAGUUAGCGGCGGACGGGUGAGUAACACGUGGGCAACCUGCCCUGUAGACUGGGAUAACUUCGGGAAACCGAAGCUAAUACCGGAUAAUCUUUGGAGCCUCAUGGUUCUAAAGUAAAAGUUGGGUUUUACCUAACACUACAGGAUGGGCCCGCGUCGCAUUAGCUAGUUGGUAAGGUAACGGCUUACCAAGGCGACGAUGCGUAGCCGACCUGAGAGGGUGAUCGGCCACACUGGGACUGAGACACGGCCCAGACUCCUACGGGAGGCAGCAGUAGGGAAUCUUCCGCAAUGGACGAAAGUCUGACGGAGCAACGCCGCGUGAGCGAUGAAGGCCUUCGGGUCGUAAAGCUCUGUUGUUAGGGAAGAACAAGUACCGUUCNAAUAGGGCGGUACCUUGACGGUACCUAACGAGAAAGCCACGGCUAACUACGUGCCAGCAGCCGCGGUAAUACGUAGGUGGCAAGCGUUGUCCGGAAUUAUUGGGCGUAAAGCGCGCGCAGGCGGUCUCUUAAGUCUGAUGUGAAAGCCCCCGGCUCAACCGGGGAGGGUCAUUGGAAACUGGGAGACUUGAGUGCAGAAGAGG